Molecule: ribosomal RNA, 292 nt
Filed under: uncultured bacterium
Lineage: Bacteria
Description: partial 16S ribosomal RNA
Rfam family: Bacterial small subunit ribosomal RNA
Source: RNAcentral
GUGCCAGCCGCCGCGGUAAGACAGAGGGUGCAAACGUUGUUCGGAUUUACUGGGCGUAAAGCGCGUGUAGGCGGCUUCGCAAGUUGGAUGUGAAAUCCCACGGCUCAACCGUGGACGUGCAUCCAAAACUGCGUCGCUCGAGUCUCGGAGAGGAAGGUGGAAUGCUUGGUGUAGAGGUGAAAUUCGUAGAUAUCAAGCAGAACACCUGCGGCGAAGGCGGCCUUCUGGACGAUGACUGACGCUGAGACGCGAAAGCGUGGGGAGCAAACAGGAUUAGAUACCCCCGUAGUCC